GGGGAAUUGAACGCUGCUGGCGUGUUUAAGAACUGCUAGUCGCACGGAAUGAACCGAGUAGUAAUACCUGGUGAUUUUAGUGGCGCACGGGUGAGUAACACGUGAAUUACAUGCGGUUCAGUGGGGAAUAGCCCGGGGAAACCCGGAUUAAUACCCCAUGGUACCGCAAGGUUAAAGGUGGCCAGCAAUGGCUGCCGCUGGAGGAUUGGUUCGCGCCCUAUCAGCUUGUUGGUGAGGUAACGGCUCACCAAGGCUACGACGGGUACCUGGUCUGAGAGGACGAUCAGGCACACUGGAACUGAGACACGGUCCAGACACCUACGGGUGGCAGCAGUCGAGAAUAAUUCACAAUGGACGAAAGUCUGAUGGUGCAACGCCGCGUGGAGGAUGACGGUCUUCGGAUUGUAAACUCCUGUCAUCUGGGAGAAAGACCUGGGAGUUAAUAGCUCACAGGGUUGAUAGUACCAGAAGAGGAAGGGACGGCUAACUUCGUGCCAGCAGCCGCGGUAAUACGAAGGUCCCAAGCGUUGUUCGGAAUCACUGGGCGUAAAGGGAGCGUAGGCGGCGCGGUAAGUCGGAUGUGAAAUCCCGAGGCUCAACCUCGGAACUGCAUCUGAUACUGCCGUGCUAGAGUAAUGGAGGGGUAGCUGGAAUUCUNCGUGUAGCAGUGAAAUGCGUAGAUAUCGAGAGGAACACUCGUGGGCGAAGCGAGCUACUGNACAUUUACUGACGCUGAGGCUCNGAGGCUAGGGGAGCGAAAGGGAUUAGAUACCCUGUAGUCCUAG
Molecule: ribosomal RNA, 785 nt
Filed under: uncultured Verrucomicrobiales bacterium
Lineage: Bacteria; Pseudomonadati; Verrucomicrobiota; Verrucomicrobiia; Verrucomicrobiales
Description: bacterial SSU rRNA
Rfam family: Bacterial small subunit ribosomal RNA
Source: RNAcentral